UGGCAAAUUGAGGGAGAAUUCUAAAGGUC
This 29-nucleotide non-coding RNA is filed under the name Rattus norvegicus (Norway rat). The record is from RNAcentral. Lineage: Eukaryota; Metazoa; Chordata; Mammalia; Rodentia; Muridae.